GGCUCCGUGGUUCAAUGGAUAGAACAGCCCCCUCCUAAGGGGCAGAUCCAGGUUCGAUUCCUGGCGGGGCCA
This 72-nucleotide transfer RNA is filed under the name Sphaerotilus mobilis. Its description in RNAcentral is "Leptothrix mobilis tRNA". It matches the Rfam family "tRNA". Rfam says of the family: Transfer RNA (tRNA) molecules are approximately 80 nucleotides in length. The record is from Rfam by way of RNAcentral. Lineage: Bacteria; Pseudomonadati; Pseudomonadota; Betaproteobacteria; Burkholderiales; Sphaerotilaceae.